This 255-nucleotide ribosomal RNA is filed under the name uncultured bacterium. RNAcentral describes it as "partial 16S ribosomal RNA". It matches the Rfam family "Bacterial small subunit ribosomal RNA", at positions 524 to 776 of the family's 1533-position model. The record is from RNAcentral.
GACGUAGGGGGCGAGCGUUGUCCGGAAUUACUGGGCGUAAAGGGCGCGUAGGCGGCCCGAUAAGUUAGAUGUGAAAGUCCCGUUUUUCAAGAUGGGGGAGUGCAUUUGAUACUGACGGGCUUGAGUGCAGGAGAGGUAAGCGGAAUUCCAAGUGUAGCGGUGAAAUGCGUAGAGAUUUGGAGGAACACCAGUGGCGAAGGCGGCUUACUGGACUGUAACUGACGCUGAGGCGCGAAAGCGUGGGGAGCAAACAGG